GACGAACGCUGGCGGCGUGCUUAACACAUGCAAGUCGAACGGAAAGGCCCUGCUUUUGUGGGGUGCUCGAGUGGCGAACGGGUGAGUAACACGUGAGUAACCUGCCCUUGACUUUGGGAUAACUUCAGGAAACUGGGGCUAAUACCGGAUAGGAGCUCCUGCUGCAUGGUGGGGGUUGGAAAGUUUCGGCGGUAGGGGAUGGACUCGAGGCUUAUCAGCUUGUUGGUGGGGUAGUGGCUUACCAAGGCUUUGAAGGGUAGCCGGCCUGAGUGGGUGACCGGGCACAUUGGUACUGAGGUACGGCCCAGACUCCUACGGGAGGCAGCAGUGGGGAAUAUUGCACAAUGGGCGGAAGCCUGAUGCAGCAACGCCGCGUGCGGAAUGACGGCCUUCGGGUUGUAAACCGCUUUCGCCUGUGACGAAGCGUGAGUGACGGUAAUGGGUAAAGAAGCACCGGCUAACUACGUG
This 468-nucleotide ribosomal RNA is filed under the name uncultured bacterium. Its description in RNAcentral is "partial 16S ribosomal RNA". It matches the Rfam family "Bacterial small subunit ribosomal RNA", at positions 28 to 507 of the family's 1533-position model. The record is from RNAcentral.